GUGGGGAAUUUUGGACAAUGGGGGAAACCCUGAUCCAGCCAUCCCGCGUGUAUGAUGAAGGCCUUCGGGUUGUAAAGUACUUUUGGCAGAGAAGAAAAGGUAUCCCCUAAUACGGGAUACUGCUGACGGUAUCUGCAGAAUAAGCACCGGCUAACUACGUGCCAGCAGCCGCGGUAAUACGUAGGGUGCAAGCGUUAAUCGGAAUUACUGGGCGUAAAGCGUGUGUAGGCGGUUCGGAAAGAAAGAUGUGAAAUCCCAGGGCUCAACCUUGGAACUGCAUUUUUAACUGCCGAGCUAGAGUAUGUCAGAGGGGGGUAGAAUUCCACGUGUAGCAGUGAAAUGCGUAGAUAUGUGGAGGAAUACCGAUGGCGAAGGCAGCCCCCUGGGAUAAUACUGACGCUCAGACACGAAAGCGUGGGGAGCAAACAGGAUUAGAAACCCGUGUAGUCC
Molecule: ribosomal RNA, 450 nt
Filed under: uncultured bacterium
Lineage: Bacteria
Description: bacterial SSU rRNA
Rfam family: Bacterial small subunit ribosomal RNA
Source: RNAcentral